Molecule: non-coding RNA, 11174 nt
Organism: Coturnix japonica (Japanese quail)
Lineage: Eukaryota; Metazoa; Chordata; Aves; Galliformes; Phasianidae
Source: RefSeq, a predicted model, not a curated record
CAGGCUCCGAGUAACCGAGCGGAGGCUGUGGGCGCUGCGCUGUGACCUCAUGCCAGUUGUGCGGCGUUGUGACGGAGCGUGUGGCACUGGGGGGGCUGAGGGAAGGGCCGGAGCCUGCUCACAUUGUGCUGUGCUCGAGCGGCGCUGCUGGGUGGGAAAGGCAGCGCUGGUGUUCUUUGUGUGCUGGUGGAUCCUGGAGCAACGUGGCACGCGUUAGUUAGGCCGCAGAGAGCCUGCACUGUGAGCACAGGGAUUUAGGUGUGUGUGUGUAGGGAGAACGGACCUGUGGCAUGCACGGACUGCGGGUGGCCCUUGUCUUGCUGCAAGGAUUUGGUAUCACUGGUCUGGCCUAGGAUUUCAUGGCGUUAAAAUAUACUUUCUGGUUCUGUAUUUUACCUCAGGGUUCGGGGGGAGGGAGUGGAGGGGAGCGUAAAAAUGUACAUUUUCCAAUUCUAACCCGUCUUUCUUAGCAAGGAGUGCGGCACAUUGUACUGUUGGGGUGCUUAUGUUUUCGGAGCAGUUUGGUGCUGGUUCCCACAUCUCAUUUUCAUAUGGUACGACAUAAAAUCAGCCUCUGCACCUCACCCAGCAAACAAACGUAACGGCUAAAAUUGCUGAGGCAAAUGAUGGUGAUUUGUUACAUUUAGAAAUGCUUGGCAGCACUUUUCCAGAUCUUAAUACGUUCACUGGUCUGGUUUGUUUCUUUUCUGUGCAGUGGCAACCUGGUGGGGCGUGAAGCUUGAAUUUCUGCUGGCUGCGUUAUGUUAAAGCAACUGGAAUGGAAGUUACUGAGUAUGUGACUAAUGUAGAAGAAUCCUGUACAAUAGACGCUACUUAAUGUGUUACAUAAGUAACGUGAGGUGGAGUCUGGUUGCAUAAGAAGCGGCUGGGGAUGGGGAGCUGCUGUACGCAGUCUGUAUGAGCUGCAAUUAGAGCCUGCAGGAAAGAAAGCCUGCAUGCAGGAGAGAAAGUUAGAACUUCAGAAGGGUUACUUGGGACAGCAAGUAUUGGAAGCAAUGGUAAAGCCUCGAGUUACUAUCACAUUUCACUCGGAACUGAAAAUAUGUAAUGAAAAAACAUAGUUUAAAAUAGUUCGUAUCAACUGACUGUUGUGAGAUACAUACCUGGUCUUAAGCAGUUAUUCUUAGAAACGUUCCUGACAGUUUAUUACAGUACUGUAUUCUGGUGUUACAAACAAGACUUAUGGUGUUACCCAAAACACACUUGAGAAUGUAUGAAUACCCGGCUUCCUUGGUGAUUGUUCUUAAUAAACUGGGUGUCACAGCUUCAGGAGGUGGACAGACAAGAAAGAGGUUGGUCAUGCUAUCAGGCAGAUAACUUCAAUACAUGAGAUCUUUGGAAAGAAUAAACAUAACUGAUGCUGGUUUUUGUAUUAAUCCAUUCAAUUAAAUCUUGUAUUUCUGUAAAGCAAUGGCCUGCUCUGCAACGCUUAGAAAUAUCAGCCUGCUGCUUUCUGGGAAGCAUAUUCCCCCGGGGCUUAAGUUCAGGGCUGAGUCUAAAGACUCUUAAUGCCUUUAUUGUGCUGUCUCUAUGAUACAACACAGGCGUUUGUGAUGGAAAUAUUUCUGUGGUCAAGUGGAAGUUCUUUUUUUUGGGGGUGGUCUGUUAGAUAAAUGGGAAUGCUUUUGAUAUGAAUACAGAAGCUUUCUGAAUGUGGAAUAAAGAAAUGAUGCAUUACUCCUGCAUGCAAUUUUGUUAUUUCUCAUCUGGUGUCUUUUUACCCCAGUACCAGGUGUGAGCUCUGGAAGAAGAAUCCUUCCUCUCCCAUGUUUUAACCUUUGCUGUACUUGCUCCAGCCCUUGUACAGCAAAGUGUUUACUGUGGUUGACUGUGUUCUGGUGCACAUUUGAGGAAGUGAAAGAGUUAAUGCGGGAUUUGGAUUAGAGGACUGCCUGGAUUUCUCAAUGUAGAAUCUGACGUCCAGCUUCCAAAAGAGACCAUUUCAUAGGAUAAUCUGUUUCCCAGUGUUUUGAAUGCAGGUAUUACCACUGCCUUUUGAGUCUUCCUUUCUGUGCUCAGGUGAUCCUAAAACAUGAGCUAGUAUGUAAAGCACUGCCUGAAAUGCAGUCCUCACACCAUUUUCAAUAGGUAGAACUAAUGUUUCCAAUCCUAAAUAAAGUUCUUGUUUGGAUGAAAAGGGCUGUCUGUUUUAAUUAGAUACAGUUAAGGUCCGUGUACCUCAUUUGAGAUACUGAAAUUUUUUUCACAUAUUUUUAAAUGAAAAUAUUCCUUAAUGGUGAAUGACAGCCAUGUAAACUACUGCUAGACUGUGAGUAUUUGUUGGAGGAAAAGCAUGUUUUCAGAGUGUGGUUUUUGGACUUCCAGACUGAUUACACAAGCUCAAGAAGGCCCACCCCACAUCCUGUGUAGAAAGCCAGUUCACAGAAAUGCCCAUUGUUCAUCAGGAUUAUAAGUCACUGUACUUUCUGCCUAGUCCCUUUUUCAAAGCACUAUAUGGAAAAUCUUAAAGUAAACGAAUUUCAGCAGCUUAACAAGUGCUUGGUCCUGCCAGGUACUGAGCACUGCUCAUACUGAAAUGGAGGGAGGGGGGAAUAAACACACUGUCCUCUCUGGCUAAAAAACAAAGGUGUUGUGCUGAUUAAAAACAGCUGAGGGUGUUUUAUUAGUUCUGUGAAUCAAUUGAUAAUUUACGUACUUUGAGCCUGAAAGUUGUGGCAGCCAUGCCAGUAUUUACUUUCUUGGGGACAGGAGAGGAGCUACAAGGAAUGUAGUUUGCUAUAAGCCUGGUAAAUUUGUCUUGGCAGUGCUUCCUACCCGCUCACUUGCUAAUGUAGAAGGAGGAUGGGGUGUCUGGAUCUCACACCCCACACUGCUGAGAUCUAUGCCACUGCCUCCAAGUUAACCAGACCUAUCCAUGAAGAAGGAACCUAUUGACUACUUGCUCAGCACUUUUGUUUUUUUCCUUCUUCACCUAAACUAUUAACGUGGAGAAUAUAUUUUUGAAAGGUGAGGGGCAGUUUGAUAUGUUUUCUAACUGGAAAAAGUGUUUCAAGAUAAAUCUUAAAUUUUAUUCUGUGUUUUUAUUUAUAUACAUAUAUCUAUUCUCUGUGUGUGUAUAUACAUAUACAUAUGAAUAAAAACACCAAGUACGAUAAACUUGGUAGAGUUCAGUAUCUGUUUAGGACCAAAAUAUCGGUUACAAUGCUGGUGAGCACAAGCCUGCCAUGGGAAUAUUCAGGGCUGCAUUGUGCUUUACAGCAGCCCUCUGAAAGGAAUCACCUCUCUUCAGUUGUUGCCAGUCCUCCUGACUGUUCAGCAUUCCCCAAACAUGUGGCCCAGAAAAUGGGAUUAUAAGGGAAGGCAUUCAAGUAAACAGAAGUUCCCUCAGGACAAGAUUUGCUUUCUCAUGUGGAGCUGCUGCAUGCUGCAGCCUGGCUGCUGCUGGCCCCAUCCCUGGCCAGGGUCUGGCGCUGCUCCUCCAAGUGAGCCAGCUCUGAUGCUGGCAGGGUGUGCAGCCUGCCCCUGUGCUGGGGGGAACAGUCUCCUCCUGAAUAGCUGGCACAGCAGAGCCACUUCACUGUAGUUUUGGAAGGGCUCACCUGAUUCCAAGUAAGGGGAGCUCACCCUUUCUGUGUCUUUUCUGUGUCUGCAUGUAGCAGUAAAUGUCUGGUCCCAUGGUGCGGAGCUAGCUGCCAAAAAUGUGCAGUGGGCUGUAUCCAGCAGUGACUGUACAGUACUGCUGAAGUGGCCCAGUGUGUUCAUGCAGUGAGUUCCUGGAUAAGUGGCUGGUUUUUUACAUUUGUUUCUUUGAACAACAGUUAUAUUGGUGGGUAAUAACGCGAUUAUCUCAGUGAUUGUGUGGUCCUGUCCAGCCUGUUUCUUGAAAGUGCUCGUCCUCAACCUCAGUCUGUAGUUUGAGCACUCUCGGGUUCUGUGUUGAGUCAAAACAUUACAUCAGCCUCAGCGAGGAGCAUUCCCAGUCCUGCUCCCUCGUGGUCUGCAUCUGGUGCUGGCCUUGCCAAUUCACUCAGUGGUUUCUGCUCAGCAGGGUUAUGCGGUGUGAGAUAUAUCAAGUCACAGAGCCUUUGGACUUUGUACCUUUCAGCGUAUUUUCUUUCACAAUUAAAAAUAAAGCUACAAAUCUCAGGUGCCUUUUGUCCUUCUUUUUCUCCAAGAGAUGUCAGUCACUGCAGUGAUGGUUCCAGUGGUAGAAGUCAGCAUGUGCUGACUGUGAGACUUCAGAAUCUGAUGGUCUUGUCUCAGCUUCUAGAGGUACCACAGCAUGGAGACUUCAGUCUUCAGAGGCUACAGUCAGAAAUGCUCCUUAAGACAACAAGAGUUCAUCACUUCACAUGCAUGUGCUCCAGGCUGGCUGGCGUCACGUUGCUGAUGGCCGUUAGUGGGGAGUGUUGAUUUCGUGGUCUGUGUGGGACAGAAUGCAGACUGGUGCCUCUGAGAUUCUACAUGUUAUGUGUUUUUUCCAUUACCUUUCUUCAGGGGUGACUGAAGAGAAACUGUUAGACUUGUUGCAUUUGGCCUCAGUGUGAAGCUUUGAACGAAUUCAGUGGUAAGAAUUCUCAGUUUUCUGAAGAAACUGAAGCCUGCAACUUUGCUUUCUUGUUCUAUACUGAGCAGCCCUGUGAGCAGAGAAGCCAGCCCAGUUCCUGCCCUGCUCAGAAGCACUGAGUUCAUGCACCUGUGUACUCCCUACAUUAGUCCAAACAAAGAAUUAUUUGCUACAGAUUCAAAGUUAAAAAUAGCCCUGCCAUUUUGCUUGUUGCUAGAAUGGGUUAACUUCUUUCCAAAGCAUUUGAAAUGUGUAACUCAUUUAUGAAAUCAGAAGCGGUAAAUUCAGGGCCUAUAACUCACAACACAGAUGACUGUGGAGUUGCCAGGAGUGACUGCACUCAGGAGUAAUGUCAGCGUCACAGAUGGGCACAGCUCACAUGUCUAUAGAGGGUCCUGUUUGCUGCGCUGGUGGGUAUGCGGUGCAUGAGAGAGCAGGCUGCCUUGGGGUAAUGCUGGCCUACAGAUGGGUCUACUGAUGAUUCUACACCUUUAAUUCUCUUCCAGGUUGGAAAGUUCUGUACCAAAGUCUGUGUAAAGCUGAGAGCUGUUUGUUUCUCAACAUAUUUUCUAUAUAAAUGAGUCGUAUAUUCAUUAUAUUUCAAAUGUACUAGUUAAAAGAACAGGAUUGUUAGAUCAGGUUUUCCAAAGCUUGAGAUUAAUUAUAUUUUUAAUACAUCCAGGUUUAUAGGGUCUGCUGAAUUAUGAGGGAGAGUAAUGACACAUUUACCGUAUUUUCCAAACAUGAGGUAGAAUGCAUAGAUCCAACAACAGGGAACUGAAAACGUCUUGUGAAUAAUAACAGCAACACCUGCUUGUAUUUCACUUCAUAAUUUCUGUGUGGGGUUGUUUAUGUUGUAGAAAAUUAUCUUUUAUGAACAAGCUUUUGAGGGCAAUGGUACGUUGCUAAGGCUGCAGCGUUUUAUAUUAUGCUGUGCAGAUUCUGUCUCGUAAAUCAAAGGAGACAGAUAUCCAUGACCUCAGCUCCAAGAGCUCUGUAGUUAGCAUUGAUUUAAAUUAACAUGGUUUAUAUGGGAAGGAGCUUUUUAGAAAUCUUGGAAAAUUGGAGUCUUAUUCAGUGGAGGGCAUGUGGCAUUGAAGCACUGACUGGCUGCUGCCAGCUGCCCAUUUGGCUUCAGCAGGUUGUGCGCUAUUAAAACUAACUGAAACCUGCAGGUAGGGCAUGCUGCUGAGUUAAGUGGAAUCAACAUAAUUGCUUGGUAAUAACGAGUUGUAAGCCAAGCAGAUAUCCUUACGGGAGUCUUUACCAAUUCAUUUCAACCUGUUCACUAAUGUAGUGCAUCAUUUAAUGAUUCAACAAAGUUGAUCAUGUUACCCUGGUUAAUGCGAGCUUCCUUUCCUCCUCAGUUCACCUAGAUUGUGGCGCUGGCAGUCAGGUGAGAGAGUUCACCUGAGUGUGCUUAUUAAGCAGGAAACUGAUCACUUUCCUUGUAGCAGCCACUUGAUGCUUUUUAGCUCUGAGUUGGCUUCUCAUGAGGGUCACGUGAGUACCAGGGCUAGUGCAAGUGAAGCAGAAUGGGGAACCUGCUGCUUUUUCAGCAGUCAGUGAUAGUAGUAGUAGUAAAAAAAAAGAAAAUGCAAGAAGUGCUGGUUAAUAUCACUGGCAACCAAGUAGAGUAACUCAGUGUGCAAACCCCAGCCAGUUUUAUCUGGGUCAUUAGACUGGUGUCAAAGUACUGAAUUCAGUUUUUAGACUAAGUAAGACAUUAGAAGGUCAUCAUCACCUUGGAAAAAACCUUCAUUUUCCAUGUGAAGUUGAAAGGCCCUGAGCACCCUCUCUGAGGACUGGGUUUUACUGUUACGAGUGACACUAGAGAUUACUAAAACUGGAAGAAGUCAGAUGAACCAAUCACUAUUUCAUUUCUGUUUAGCUCAGUCGUUAGUGUUCUUGGCAGCGUUUCAUAUGUAUUCAGUUUCAGUGGGGUUUUGCUUCCUGUCUUAUUUAUUAACAUAGUGAUGUCAUUCCUGUGUACCGCUGUGGGGGAGCGUGGUUGUAUGUUCUUCCUCAACCUCUGCAGGAAAGGCCUGGCCCUCCUGUCAGAUGACUUUGGUUGUACUUUGGUGGGAGGGUCCCCUAUUUUGUGACCCUCUGCAUGGAAAUGUAGAGCAGAGCAGGAGGAGGGGCCAGCAAAAGGAUUUCAUGCUUCUGUAGGAGAGACUUGUAGGACUGUCCAUCUUCACCUCCUGUCAGUGAGCAGCCAGAACCUUUGUGAUCCUGUGGGAAGGCAGGAAUGGGCAGGGAAACCACCUAGCCCUGAAGCAAGCAAAGCAAUGCAAUCCAGGAGCAGGAGCGCCAGCUGUAUCCCUCCUCCUUUGGCUGGGGACUGAGUGUGAGAGGAACAUACUGAGGAGGCCCCAUCUGCGUGGUGUUCUUUGGAGACCAGGAGAGCAGCAGGCACUGAGCAGAACGUGUGAUUUGUUCCUCUGGCAUGUCCUGAGGAGGCAGCAGGUGUGGGAGUGGUUUUUCCAUGGGGAUAUCUCUGGGAGCAGGCAGGUCCCAGCACAUCUGGGCAGGUAGGCUUGGGCCUGCUGCUCUUGCUGUGGCCUGAAGCGUGCAGCAUGCACCAGCCUGGGCUGUACAACAGGAGCAGUCAUUAUGCAGAAAGCUUGAAAUGAUAGAAAUCUGCAUAUUAAAAUCACUUUGGAAACACUUCCGGAAGACACUUUGUCCCAUUUAAUCUUGUUGGAAGGGUCUCUUCCAGCAUGAGUCAUUUGCAGCUGUAGAGGACCCAGGGCAGAGCCCUCCUCUUCUUUGCUGAACAGGGUUGUCAGAGCUCCCAGGGUCAACGCUGGGAGAAAAAUACCCUGAUUCAUUUCCCAACCAAAUACACACAGGAGAACUCCCCACAGGGCUGCUGCUGGGGGGAGGGGGGAAGGAGGGAGUUGUGGCUUUGGUUUUUCAGUCACUCUGCUCUACAUAAGCAACAUUAUGCAGCUCCAAGGUCCCGCCCAGAGGACUGUAACAGCCCAUCUGCCCAUCCCCAGGCAGCACACAAUGGUGUUGAUAUGACUGUUGCUACAGAGGAAGUGGCUUCUGUUAUAACCAGAGAGCAAUCUGCCAAAGUCCACAGCCUGGGUAGCUGCCAAACUAAGUUUGACAAAAAUACUUAACUUUGACUUUCAUCUGAGCUUUCUCUGAAGAUAAUUCUCCUACUUCCUACCACUGAUAUCUCACUUAUGCUAGGAUUCUUAUUUUUACAUAAAAUAGUUUAUGCUUUUACCAAAAGAAAGUUAAUUCACAACAGAUUAAAAUCUUUAUCAUGAAAAUUGUGUGAAAUGUUGUCAGUGCAGUAGCAGAACUGACGUUAGGCUAUAUGCAGCUCAAAGCGUUGCUCAAGGGCGUUUUUGUGCCCUCUGCCAUUCCUGCUCCGAGCUGUUCCUGUUCUUGAUCUGACUUGGACGCUGGAAAUACUACAGGGGUACUACAGCAGAGAACACAGGGUGUGAAAGCCUUGGGAUAUUUGAGGCCUCAGGCGCCCCCUUGUGCCCUUUUUUUUUUUUUGUGUUGCAAUGCCAGCAAAUGCAUGAGAUGCAGGCUGCACGUACGAAACAGCUGAGCCUCAGCUGCACCAUUGCGUGGGGCCUGGGCUGUGCUCUGGAACUUGCAUCGUGCUCAGUGAUAGUUUGGAUGCUGGCAGGAGUGGCUGACACACCAGAAUGCUGUGCUGCCAUUUAUUCAGCAAGACUUGAACAGGCUUGAGAGUUGGGUGGAGAUGAACCUGAUGAGAUUCAAUAAUGGCAGGUGCACUUGAGUAGGAAUAACCAUAUGCAUGAGUACAGGUUAGAUGCUGACAUGCUGGAAAGGAGCUUCACAGAGAAGGACCUGAGUGUCAGCGGGUUGGCCAUGAACCAGCAGUGUGCCCUUGUAGCCAAGAAGGCCAAUGGUAUCUUGGAGUGCAUUAAAAAAAGCAUGGCCAGCAGGUUGAGGGAGGUGGUCCUCCCCCCCUACUCUGCUCUGGUGAGUCCACAUCUCAAGUACUGUGUGGUUCUGAGCUCCCCAUUUCAGCAAAGACAUGGAACUGCUAGAGAGAGUCCAGCAGAGACCACAAAGAUUAUUGAGGGCCUGGAGCAUGUCCUAUAUGAGGAGAGGCUGAGAGACCUGGGGCUGUUCGGCCUGGAGAAGAGAAAGCUGGAGAGAGAUAUUGUCAAUGCUUAUAAAUAUUUAAUGGACAGCAGUCAAGUGUAUGGGGCCCAGUGGCAGAAAAAGGAGCAAGUUUCAAAUGAUUUUAAGAUGCAAAAGCAAUUGAACAUAAUGCAUACAGUGUGUUCUGUGGGGAUUAAAGGUGUAGCUUAUUUCCGUCAUACUGACCCUGAGAAGUUUUAGACUGGGCCACCUGCCAAUUCCGUGGUGACAAUUCUAGCUAAAUAGCAGUUUCUAUCAAUGUACUUCUCCUGAGUUUGUUUCAUAUAGCAGUAGCUAGAAUAUUAAGCAAGAGUGACCAUGGCAUACUUAGCCAGGAUCCAUCUACUUCAGUAUCCCAUCUCCAGCAGACACUGUAAGUGAAUACCAUAAUGAAAGCCUAAGAACAGGUCAAGUAUAAAUGCUUCUUUGUUCACUGUUCUCACAGCCUCUGACCAUUUUCAAUUCUCAAGCCGAUUAUGGGUUUUGUAUAUUUAGCAAACAUUGAACAGAUUACUUUGCAAGAUUGUCUAGUCUUCACAACAUCCUUUGGCAAAGAGUUCAGGAAAUCAGCUGACCCCUGGAUGAGGAGCCACCUCUUUGUGUUUUUUCUUUGUGUUGAACUGCCUGUUAUCUUCAGUGAGUGUUACCUCAGCCUUCUGUUGAAAGAAAAGUGAGCAGUGACCAUCCAAUGCGCUCACAAUUUUACAGUCCUCUGUUAUAUCCUUCCACUUGUCUCUUUUUUCAGUCUGAAAAGUCCUGUCUUAUUUAAUGGAAAUUGUACUGUAUCUGUAAAUAAUAAAAUCUGUAAAUAUAAAAUAAAAAUCCUGACAGUUGCUUUGAGUCUUGAAUUUCUACUGGAGACUGAGUUAAGGCUUUAGGAACUUCCUUAUCAUAACUUCAGUGUUUUACUUCUGAGUGCUAAUGGUCAACUCUGAAUACAUGCAGGAGCAGGUAUGUGCAAAGUUAGAAUUGCUUUUCUUCCUGUACAUCAUUUUGCACUUAGCUCCAUUGAAUCCUACUUGCUAUUUUGUGACCAGUUAAUUCCUGUCUGGUCUGUUGCUCCUCAUGCUCACUACACUGAAUAUCACAAAGCUGUCAUAAUCUUGUCCACCCCUUUUCCUAGUAUGCUGAACCUGACAGCUCUAUCAUGAGUCUCCGAGGAGCUGUGCUGAUGAACUUUGUUUACUGAGUGUGUGUUGACCAGAUAGAAAAAGUUUUAACCACCUCUUCUGCCCUGCAAGGACCUUUCCUUAAAGGCUUUGUUAUGGUUAGAAGCUGGCUGGCAACUCAACUAUGUUUAUCAACCAAGCCAUUCUCAUCCAUGGACCUUAUGAGCCCUUCAAAGAAGCUUGAUAAUUAUUUAAUGCAGACAGUCUUGGUUCUUCCAAGGUGUCUCAUGUUUAAUAAUAGAUGUUUAAUAAUUUUAUUCCUUGUUAAAGUUUAUACUACUUGCUGAUAGGUGAAGUCACCAGAGAUGACGAAAGAAACAGGUUUUUUGAGUAGUUAGACCUCUUGCAAAGUGCUGAGUGAAGCUCUUUAAAAGGCAGUGCAAUUUGAAUGGUUUGCAUAGCUGAGAUAGCUAAUGUAAAUGGAUUCAGGAACAAAUCUUAGCAGAAUCAGCCAUUCCCCAGCACAGGCUGUUGUCACUAAUAAUUUGAUCAAAGCAUGUGGAUAUAGUCGUUUUUUUUCAUUACUACCUACUGUAAAAUAACAGCAAAAAGCUCCUUGUGGCUGCAGAAUGUAACAUCUGUGUCUGAAAACCUGACAGUGUCAGGUCAGAGAUGCAGCUGUUGAUAAGAGAUGAUUUGCAGAUCUACUCCAAAAAUACCCAGUGAAAGACAAAAUAAGAGGUAAAAAAAAUUCUCCAACAAAUCCAGCAACUUGGAAAUAAUUAUUCUCUUUAUGUUACAAGUCACCCAAAUUAUGGCUCAGUGAAUAAUGCAGUGACAGUUUCCAGAAGAGUGGCAGAUGUUUCAUAUAAUACAAGAAUGCACUUAUUAACAUAGGCCUGUUAGAUCUGUGUGCGCACAGUUUGUGUAAGAACUCACACUGAUGAGGUACGAGGGCUACACAGUUUGUAAACGGAUCAGUUCAAAUUGAUGCACUGUACCUCAUUCAUUGGUUGUUUUGCUUUGUGUGUAUGCUUUUCUCUAUAAUACCCAGUAGUAAGUGUGACACAAUUAUAAGCAUCAUAUCCUGCAUUUACAGGAAGAAGGAAAAGCUGAGUGUGUACAUAAAUAUUCCCUGCAGAACUGGUCUGUGUCAGUCCGUAUUGUGCACUGCAGUGGUUAACUCUUCUUAAAAAAGAAGAAAUGUUUGAAUUCAUCUACUUUCUAGAUGAAAGGGGCCAACUCUGAGCUCUGACUAUUGCCACAUAGAGCUGUUGCAUGCAAGAUUAUCUUUCCAGAUAAACAUGAUAAGUGUUCGAAUGAAUUUAUCAAUAAUCAGUGGAAAGGAUGUCAAAAUACAGUCUGUUACUGUA